RNAcentral lists this ribosomal RNA (440 nucleotides) under uncultured bacterium. RNAcentral's name for it is "partial 16S ribosomal RNA". It matches the Rfam family "Bacterial small subunit ribosomal RNA", at positions 338 to 795 of the family's 1533-position model. The record is from RNAcentral.
CCUACGGGUAGCAGCAGUGGGGAAUAUUGCACAAUGGGGGAAACCCUGAUCCAGCGACGCCGCGUGAGUGAAGAAGUAUCUCGUUACGUUACGCUCUAUCAGCAGGGAAGAAAAUGACGGUACCUGACUAAGAAGCCCCGGCUAACUACGUGCCAGCAGCCGCGGUAAUACGUAGGGUGCAAGCGUUAUCCGGAUUUACUGGGUGUAAAGGGAGCGUAGACGGCAGCACAAGUCUGGAGUGAAAUCCCUGGGCGUAACCCCGGAACUGCUUUGGCAACUGUGCGGCUGGAGUGCAGGAGGGGUAAGCGGAAUUCGUGGUGGAGCGGUGAAAUGCGUAGAUAUUAGGAGGAACACCGGUGGCGAAGGCGGCUUACUGGACUGUAACUGACGUUGAGGCUCGAAAGCGUGGGGAGCAAACAGGAUUAGAUACCCCAGUAGUC